GACGAACGCUGGCGGCGUGCUUAACACAUGCAAGUCGAACGGAAAGGCCCUGCUUUUGUGGGGUGCUCGAGUGGCGAACGGGUGAGUAACACGUGAGUAACCUGCCCUUGACUUUGGGAUAACUUCAGGAAACUGGGGCUAAUACCGGAUAGGAGCUCCUGCUGCAUGGUGGGGGUUGGAAAGAUUCGGCGGUUGGGGAUGGACUCGCGGCUUAUCAGCUUGUUGGUGGGGUAGUGGCUUACCAAGGCUUUGACGGGUAGCCGGCCUGAGAGGGUGACCGGCCACAUUGGGACUGAGAUACGGCCCAGACUCCUACGGGAGGCAGCAGUGGGGAAUAUUGCACAAUGGGCGGAAGCCUGAUGCAGCAACGCCGCGUGCGGGAUGACGGCCUUCGGGUUGUAAACCGCUUUCGCCUGUGACGAAGCGUGAGUGACGGUAAUGGGUAAAGAAGCACCGGCUAACUACGU
RNAcentral lists this ribosomal RNA (467 nucleotides) under uncultured bacterium. RNAcentral's name for it is "partial 16S ribosomal RNA". It matches the Rfam family "Bacterial small subunit ribosomal RNA", at positions 28 to 506 of the family's 1533-position model. The record is from RNAcentral.